UUUUUACUAGGAACCCCUGAGGCUGUAUUUAGCAAUUAAAUAUAAAACCAAUCAAAAAACCAAGGUUUAGAAUAUGUACACACACAAACACAAACACAAACACAAAACACAGAUAUACACAAGUAGUAAGUGAAUUUGGCAACUUGAGUUCGGUCAUUGCAAGUGGUUAUUGGUUAGGGUUUCUUUUGUCCCUUGCAUUUCAACCAAAAAUAUUAAAAUUUGAUAUAUUGUUUUUAGUAAGCUACUGCACAUAUUAGAAUAUGAAUUUGCAUAAAAAGUAGAAUGGUGUGACUUAUUUUUUGGAAUUGUAUUGAGAAGAUUCAAGAUUUUUUUAUUUGGUGUUGAGAAUUUUAAUAACAAUUUAUUUAAUUUUCAUUUUGCAUUAUUAGUUAAUUCAGAUUUCUUUUCAUUUGUUAUAAAAAAAAAUGGGCGAAUUUUACUGGAAAAUUUUAUACUGCUGAGCAGCAGGUCUAAUGGUCAAAGGUUGAGUGGGAGGGAGGAGAGAGUGAUGGUGAUUCUCCUAUUUGUUUCUUGCAAAUGCUUCUCAUAACUAAGCAUAUUGCUGAGAUAAGCCCAUUUUGCUUAGUUCCUCGUUGUUCUCCAUAAUAUAACAGUUAAGUGUUUGAAUACAUCAAUGAUAAUGUUCUGCAGAUCUGUUUAUGGUGACAAAGCUAUGGAACUGCCAGAAAGGACAAAUGAAAUGGCAGGAGUUUAUGCAAGGCAAUGUGUUGAGUUAGCAAAGGACUUGGGAAUUUGCUCCAUUGAUAUAUGGUACAAGAUGCAGGAAACAGAGGGUUGGCAGAAAAAAUUUCUGAGUGAUGGCUUGCACUUGACACCAGAAGGUAAUGCGGUAGUCUAUCAAGAGGUUGUAAGAGUGUUCAAUGAUGCACAGCUCUCUGCUGAAGAAAUGCCGUAUGAUUUCCCUCACCACUCAAAAAUUGAUGGAAAGAACCCUGAAAAAGCUUUCGAACAACAAUGCGUAUAGCACUGCAAUGUCGUCAUUUUUAUUCUUUAAUAAUGAAUCCAUUGGAUCAAACCAAGAAGUAUAGGUGCGCCUGCCAUCCACACCAGAAUAAAUGGAGUUUUCUAAAAAAACCUACUAGUUGAGGAAAACCUGCCAAGGAUAAGAGAUAUAGGGCUAAAGAGAGCCAAAAAAGGAUCUGUCGCGUAUAAUUGUCCUGCAUAAUCUCGAAUGUUAUAAGUUCUACUGCAUAGACCAAAUGAUAUAAGGCAAAGCAAAAGUUUCUGGAUUCAUGGAGAUAUAGAAGAGCAUAAGAGUUAUCAUGCUUGCAUAUGUAGUAUCUUGAUUUUUUUUCCCCUGAUUAUUUGAAUAUUGCUGCUUCACUGAUUGUUCUACAGAAAGCAUUUUGUCUUUCUGCUGUUGUGUAAAGAUGAACUUUUUCUAUCAGUGUUGAAAUUGAAGCCACCAUUUCCUUUUUCCCUUAUAUGCAGUUUUUCUACUAUUCCACAUGUGUUCAUGCCUGUAAUUUACUGCUAAUGUCAUGACUUUGAAAU
Molecule: unclassified non-coding RNA, 1515 nt
Filed under: Hevea brasiliensis (rubber tree)
Lineage: Eukaryota; Viridiplantae; Streptophyta; Magnoliopsida; Malpighiales; Euphorbiaceae
Source: RNAcentral